This 535-nucleotide ribosomal RNA is filed under the name uncultured Glomus. RNAcentral's name for it is "SSU rRNA". It matches the Rfam family "Eukaryotic small subunit ribosomal RNA", at positions 569 to 1092 of the family's 1831-position model. Lineage: Eukaryota; Fungi; Glomeromycota; Glomeromycetes; Glomerales; Glomeraceae. The record is from RNAcentral.
AGCAGCCGCGGUAAUUCCAGCUCCAAUAGCGUAUAUUAAAGUUGUUGCAGUUAAAAAGCUCGUAGUUGAAUUUCGGGAUCAAUACGUCGGUCGUGCUUCGGUACGUACUGGCGUCAUUGAUUUCUCCCUUCUGACGAACCAUGAUGUCAUUAACUUGGUGUCUUGGGAAAUCAGGACUGUUACUUUGAAAAAAUUAGAGUGUUUAAAGCAGGCUCACGCUUGAAUACAUUAGCAUGGAAUAAUGAAAUAGGACGUUCGAUCCUAUUUUGUUGGUUCCUAUUUUGUUGGUUUUAGGAUCAACGUAAUGAUUAAUAGGGAUAGUUGGGGGCAUUAGUAUUCAAUUGUCAGAGGUGAAAUUCUUGGAUUUAUUGAAGACUAACUACUGCGAAAGCAUUUGCCAAGGAUGUUUUCAUUAAUCAAGAACGAAAGUUAGGGGAUCGAAGACGAUCAGAUACCGUCGUAGUCUUAACCAUAAACUAUGCCGACUAGGGAUCGGAUGAUGUUAAUUUUUUAAUGACUCAUUCGGCGCCUUACG